RNAcentral lists this ribosomal RNA (409 nucleotides) under uncultured bacterium. RNAcentral describes it as "bacterial SSU rRNA". It matches the Rfam family "Bacterial small subunit ribosomal RNA", at positions 30 to 443 of the family's 1533-position model. The record is from RNAcentral.
AUUGAACGCUGGCGGAAUGCUUUACACAUGCAAGUCGAACGGCAGCACGGGGCAACCUGGUGGCGAGUGGCGAACGGGUGAGUAAUACAUCGGAACGUGCCCAAUCGUGGGGGAUAACGUAGCGAAAGUUACGCUAAUACCGCAUACGAUCUACGGAUGGAAGCGGGGGAUCGCAAGACCUCGCGCGAAUGGAGCGGCCGAUGUCAGAUUAGGUAGUUGGUGGGGUAAAGGCUCACCAAGCCAACGAUCUGUAGCUGGUCUGAGAGGACGACCAGCCACACUGGAACUGAGACACGGUCCAGACUCCUACGGGAGGCAGCAGUGGGGAAUUUUGGACAAUGGGCGCAAGCCUGAUCCAGCCAUUCCGCGUGCAGGAUGAAGGCCUCGGUUGUAACUAGCUUUGUUACGG